This 253-nucleotide ribosomal RNA is filed under the name uncultured bacterium. RNAcentral describes it as "partial 16S ribosomal RNA". It matches the Rfam family "Bacterial small subunit ribosomal RNA", at positions 524 to 776 of the family's 1533-position model. The record is from RNAcentral.
UACGAAGGGGGCCAGCGUUGCUCGGAAUUACUGGGCGUAAAGGGCGCGUAGGCGGACAGUUAAGUCAGAGGUGAAAGCCCAGGGCUCAACCCUGGAAUAGCCUUUGAUACUGGCUGUCUUGAGUGCGGGAGAGGUGUGUGGAACUCCGAGUGUAGAGGUGAAAUUCGUAGAUAUUCGGAAGAACACCAGUGGCGAAGGCGACACACUGGCCCGUAACUGACGCUGAGGCGCGAAAGCGUGGGGAGCAAACAGG